GAGGUCCUACGGGACGCAGCAGUGGGGAAUAUUGGGCAAUGGGCGCAAGCCUGACCCAGCAACGCCGCGUGAAGGAAGAAGGCUUUCGGGUUGUAAACUUCUUUUAUGAGGGACGAAAGAAAUGACGGUACCUCAUGAAUAAGCCACGGCUAACUACGUGCCAGCAGCCGCGGUAAUACGUAGGUGGCAAGCGUUAUCCGGAUUUACUGGGUGUAAAGGGCGUAUAGGCGGGGCUGCAAGUCAGAUGU
RNAcentral lists this ribosomal RNA (248 nucleotides) under uncultured bacterium. RNAcentral's name for it is "partial 16S ribosomal RNA". It matches the Rfam family "Bacterial small subunit ribosomal RNA", at positions 333 to 595 of the family's 1533-position model. The record is from RNAcentral.